GACGAACGCUGGCGGCGUGCUUAACACAUGCAAGUCGAACGGAAAGGCCCUGCUUUUGUGGGGUGCUCGAGUGGCGAACGGGUGAGUAACACGUGAGUAACCUGCCCUUGACUUUGGGAUAACUUCAGGAAACUGGGGCUAAUACCGGAUAGGAGCUCCUGCUGCAUGGUGGGGGUUGGAAAGUUUCGGCGGUUGGGGACGGACUCGCGGCUUAUCAGCUUGUUGGUGGGGUAGUGGCUUACCAAGGCUUUGACGGGUAGCCGGCCUGAGAGGGUGACCGGCCACAUUGGGACUGAGAUACGGCCCAGACUCCUACGGGAGGCAGCAGUGGGGAAUAUUGCACAAUGGGCGGAAGCCUGAUGCAGCAACGCCGCGUGCGGGAUGACGGCCUUCGGGUUGUAAACCGCUUUCGCCUGUGAUGAAGCGUGAGUGACGGUAAUGGGUAAAGAAGCACCGGCUAACUACGUG
Molecule: ribosomal RNA, 468 nt
Filed under: uncultured bacterium
Lineage: Bacteria
Description: partial 16S ribosomal RNA
Rfam family: Bacterial small subunit ribosomal RNA
Source: RNAcentral